CAGCAGCCGCGGGAAUACGAAGGGUGCAAGCGUUACUCGGAAUUACUGGGCGUAAAGCGUGCGUAGGUGGUGGUUUAAGUUCGUUGUGAAAGCCCUGGGCUCAACCUGGGAAUUGCAGUGGAUACUGGGUCACUAGAGUGUGGUAGAGGAUAGUGGAAUUUCCGGUGUAGCAGUGAAAUGCGUAGAGAUCGGAAGGAACAUCUGUGGCGAAGGCGACUAUCUGGGCCAACACUGACACUGAGGCACGAAAGCGUGGGGAGCAAACAGGAUUAGAUACCCCCGUAGUCCCUGUCUCUUAUAC
This 301-nucleotide ribosomal RNA is filed under the name uncultured bacterium. RNAcentral's name for it is "partial 16S ribosomal RNA". It matches the Rfam family "Bacterial small subunit ribosomal RNA", at positions 509 to 807 of the family's 1533-position model. The record is from RNAcentral.